Molecule: ribosomal RNA, 329 nt
Filed under: uncultured eukaryote
Lineage: Eukaryota
Description: partial 18S ribosomal RNA
Rfam family: Eukaryotic small subunit ribosomal RNA
Source: RNAcentral
CCCUUAGAUGUUCUGGGCCGCACGCGCGCUACACUGAUGCAUUCAACGAGUCUAAAACCUGCUCUGAUAGGGGUGGGUAAUCUUUUGAAUGUGCAUCGUGAUUGGGAUAGAUGAUUGCAAUUUUUCAUCUUCAGCGAGGAAUGCCUAGUAAACGCAAGUCAUCAGCUUGCAUUGAUUACGUCCCUGCCCUUUGUACACACCGCCCGUCGCUCCUACCGAUUGAAUGAUCCGAUGAAUAUCAUGGAUUGAGGAUGCAAGUAGGUUCGCCUAUCUUCAUCUUCGAGAAGUGAAGUAAAUCUUAUCAUUUAGAGGAAGGAGAAGUCGUAACA